UACGGGGGGGGCAAGCGUUGUUCGGAAUUACUGGGCGUAAAGGGCUCGUAGGCGGCCAACUAAGUCGGAUGUGAAAUCCCCAGGCUUAACCUGGGAAUUGCAUCCGAUACUGGAUGGCUUGAAUCCGGGAGAGGGAUGCGGAAUUCCAGGUGUAGCGGUGAAAUGCGUAGAUAUCUGGAGGAACACCGGUGGCGAAGGCGACCUUCUGGACAGUGACUGACGCUGAGACGCGAAAGCGUGGGAGCAAACAGG
Molecule: ribosomal RNA, 252 nt
Filed under: uncultured bacterium
Lineage: Bacteria
Description: partial 16S ribosomal RNA
Rfam family: Bacterial small subunit ribosomal RNA
Source: RNAcentral